This 819-nucleotide ribosomal RNA is filed under the name uncultured Terriglobales bacterium. RNAcentral's name for it is "bacterial SSU rRNA". It matches the Rfam family "Bacterial small subunit ribosomal RNA", at positions 58 to 908 of the family's 1533-position model. Lineage: Bacteria; Pseudomonadati; Acidobacteriota; Terriglobia; Terriglobales. The record is from RNAcentral.
CAAGUCGCACGAGAAAGUGGAGCAAUCCAUGAGUACAGUGGCGCACGGGUGAGUAACACGUGAAUCAUCUACCUCCGAGUGGGGAAUAACCUAGAGAAAUCUGGGCUAAUACCGCAUAACACUUACGAGUCAAAGCAGCAAUGCGCUUGGAGAGGAGUUCGCGGCCGAUUAGCUAGUUGGCGGGGUAAUGGCCCACCAAGGCGAUGAUCGGUAUCCGGCCUGAGAGGGCGCACGGACACACUGGAACUGAAACACGGUCCAGACUCCUACGGGAGGCAGCAGUGGGGAAUUUUGCGCAAUGGGGGAAACCCUGACGCAGCAACGCCGCGUGGAGGAUGAAAUCCCUUGGGAUGUAAACUCCUUUCGAUGGGGAAGAUUAUGACGGUACCCAUAGAAGAAGCCCCGGCUAACUUCGUGCCAGCAGCCGCGGUAAUACGAGGGGGGCAAGCGUUGUUCGGAAUUAUUGGGCGUAAAGGGUGCGUAGGCGGUCUGACAAGUCUGAUGUGAAAUCUAUGGGCUCAACCCAUAGUCUGCAUCGGAAACUGUCGGGCUUGAGUAUGGGAGAGGUGAGUGGAAUUUCCGGUGUAGCGGUGAAAUGCGUAGAUAUCGGAAGGAACACCUGUGGCGAAAGCGGCUCACUGGACCAUUACUGACGCUGAGGCACGAAAGCUAGGGGAGCAAACAGGAUUAGAUACCCUGGUAGUCCUAGCCCUAAACGAUGAUCGCUUGAUGUGGCAGGUACCCAAUCCUGCAGUGUCGAAGCUAACGCGAUAAGCGAUCCGCCUGGGGAGUACGGUCGCAAGGCUGAAACUCAAAGGA